Molecule: ribosomal RNA, 301 nt
Filed under: uncultured bacterium
Lineage: Bacteria
Description: partial 16S ribosomal RNA
Rfam family: Bacterial small subunit ribosomal RNA
Source: RNAcentral
CAGUCGCCGCGGUAAUACAGAGGGUGCGAGCGUUAAUCGGAUUUACUGGGCGUAAAGCGUGCGUAGGCGGCUAAUUGAGUCGGAUGUGAAAUCCCCGAGCUUAACUUGGGAAUUGCAUUCGAUACUGGUUAGCUAGAGUGUGGGAGAGGAUGGUAGAAUUCCAGGUGUAGCGGUGAAAUGCGUAGAGAUCUGGAGGAAUACCGAUGGCGAAGGUAGCCAUCUGGCCUAACACUGACGCUGAGGUACGAAAGCAUGGGGAGCAAACAGGAUUAGAUACCCCGGUAGUCCCUGUCUCUUAUAA